Molecule: long non-coding RNA, 6651 nt
Filed under: Taeniopygia guttata (zebra finch)
Lineage: Eukaryota; Metazoa; Chordata; Aves; Passeriformes; Estrildidae
Description: lncRNA (ENSTGUG00000021409.1)
Source: RNAcentral
UUUUUUUUUUUUUUUGUUUUAAUUUCUACUAGACAUUUAUCCUAAAUUCUGUAUGGUCUAUAAACUGAUAUAAAUUACUAUCUGUCCUGCAAAAUACUUAACUAAUUCUAAAGCCAUGCAUGUAGUGGCUACAGAAGCUCCAACUGAAUUCCAACUGAAUUUUUGUUUGUUUUUAUAAAGUAAGUAUAAUUGUGCAGUAAUUUACUGGGAGUAUAAGUAUCUGCAUGGCCAGGAAUAUGCCAUGUUGUGAAGAAAAGAGAUUUGAAAUGAAGAAUGGUAAAGUAAAGAAAGAACAAAUAAGUAUGUUAAAUAAAUCUCACCAUUUAAUUUUAACAUGCUUCUGUGUAACAGUUAGACUCCACAGAUGACAACUAAUAGAUAUGUGGGGGACUGUGGCAUUCCUGCUUCUUUUUUGUUUAUAGCUCUAAUUAUUUUAUACUGUGAUGAAACAGAACUUGAAAAAUGCUGUGCUUGACUUAGAGAAUAGUUUAGUUGAUCAAUCAGCAAUCUGGCAAAGCAAGCAGCUACACAAAAAGAAAUUGGUGAGGAAUUCCAUACUUAAAUCGCUUGGAAUUUAUGAGUGGCGUCUUCUUUUUUUUUAUCCUUACAACUGUAGAAAUUAUUAACCUCAUUUGAAGAUGCACUUUGCUAUUUUCAGUGUCAGAAAAAGUCUAUAGGUUCCAUAUAAUUUUAAUCAAUUGUCUUAUUCAACCUUAAAUGCACAUGUAGCUAUGUAAAAUUUAUCACUGUUACCUAAGAGGAAGCAUUUCUUUCAAUGAGUAGAUAGGAGCUGUCAUCUAUAUUCUUCUGGUCUUAUGCCACCCUUUUUUCUCUCUCACUUGGAUGGAGUCUUCCAAUUCUAACACCACCAUAUAAAUACACACAUGGCUGCCUAAAGCAAGAUUCAUAGGACAGCAAAAAUUAGUUAAGAAAAGCCUGACUGAUCUAGCUGUUGCAAUUAAAAAAUUUAUUACAGACCUCAGCACUUUGUCCCUCCCAUGCGCCAGAGGGUACCCUCCCUAGGAGGUGUGUCAGAAAAAACUACAGGCAUCUGACUCACCUGCCUCUAUGUCCUCACUGGUGGUUAAAGCUACUUGUCACACUAUACAGGGAAAUAGGUAUGGUUCUGUCUCCUCUCCCUCGGGGUGUAACAACUUUCUGCAGAAGGGUAAGGCAACUAGCUGAGUCAGUAAAAAAAUAACAUCUCAAUUCUACCUAUCUCCCCUGCAUAGUUAGUGUUGUUAAGAUUACAAAACAGUAAAAGCCUUUGGCCUGGACUCACAGAUAAAGCACUACAUCUACUUACUUCCUAAUUUCCUGAUUUUUUUUUUCCAUAUCUUCUCUCUUGCAUUCUGUUUCAUCCAUCCCAGUUCUCCUCCUGUUCCCCUUCUCUAUCUGUAGUGCUUGUUUUGCAAAUGCUAUCUCCUACUGACAUCUCAAAAGCUGCCAUUAUAAAUUUCAAAGUAGUCAGGCAACCAGUUGCCAGUGCACAAAAAACUCCAAAAUAUAGUUGAUCUGAGCAUGUACAGGGAUCUCCAGAAUAUAUAAGGAAGUCUCUGCACAUGAACAAUAUAUCAUAUACCUGUGGCACAGAAAACAAUGGGUUUUCUGUAUGGGCACUCAGUUCUUGCUGUGGCAGCCUAUGUUUCCCUCAGCUCAUUUCAUUCUAUCCCCAGACUUCCUGUGUCUCAUUUUGUUUCCAGCAUUCACUAUGCACACUGGUUCUGUUUUCAUGUGCCUUUUCUGAUACUCUAAGUUGGAUCUUAGUUCUGCUCACACUUCUUUUAUUCCCAUGUCUCUCUACACCUUCCUGUCCAGUAUUAAAAAGAGAAAUUUGAGAAUGAUCUGGUUUCAUCUUCACUGGAACAGCUACCAUCUUUGCUAGAACAAACUUAAGUUUUAUGUAACAGUAUUACAGGAAAGUAACCAGCUGUCAUGACUGAAAGUAAUUUCAUUUAAGUCCCGAAACACUCUGGAGAGAGCAACCAUUACAAUAAGGAAAAACCAAGAUGUUGGACACCUACAGUCUUGUAACUGCAGGAGUCUCUGUGUAUUUUGUGCUUUAAUUUCAAAUCCACUAAGUAGUUUGAAUUGGCAAUGAUACAAAGGUUCUGGGACUCACUGAUGGCAUUUCUAAUCAAUUCAGUGAAUAAUGACUUUCUGUGAAGCAAUUUACUUGCCAUGAAGAAGCUAUUCUGUCUGAGACACUGAACCUGCAUAAAAGAAAUAGAGAAGAAUAGGAGCCUCUUCCCCUGCCAUUUCAGAUUUCUGUUUCAUAGAGAAUAGUAUCCCAGAAUGGUACCUGAAAGGCACAAGCAGCAGAGGUGUGCACAUACAUGUGACCAGUUCUCAUUAUCUGCAGACCUUCAUUGCUCACUACCUUUAGUCUCCAACACAAAAUAUAAAAAAACAAACCAAAAUAUUUCACUAGGCUAGAGUUUUAUAGUGAUGUAUUGUCCAAGGCACAAGCCUCAUUUUUUAGACAAUUUACAGAAAAUACCUCACCAUUUUCUAUCUGAGUAUGGUAAUUGACCUAGUUGAAGUAGGCUUAGUAUCUUUUGUUUUGAAAAGCAGGAUGUCCUUCCUGUCUUUCAGAGCAGUAGUAGAGAAAUAAAGGAGUGUCUAGUAUUUGUUCGCAAACCCAGGCAGAACUGUACAAAAAGGGGCUGUCUCCAUGCUAUUAACUUCCUUCUACAAGGAGUAAACUGACUCUUGCUGAAGCCAGUGGAAAGACUUCAUUUACAUUACCUGGAGGAAUCUCCAUCUGGAAGAAGAAAACAGUCAAGAAAAAAAAAAGCAAUGAAACUAGAUUUUCCACUUAAACAGUGCUCCAGAUCAAAACAAUAUACACAACUGGUAGAUACUUUGUAUGUACAAAUACCACAAAUGCCAGGUAUAAAUAAAAGCAUCAAUUCUGAUAUUGUAAAGAUACUGAAAUCAUUAUCUACAUGACUGAUAAAUAUUCUUCAAAAUUUAGAGAUGCAAGGUGUGAGGAAAUGAGAAACAGUAUUUAAGUAGCAUUGUGACAGGAUAUUGUGAUGUUACAUAUAGGAAUUAAAAGGUUUAGCAAUAUAGAGGAAGAAAACAGUGACAAUAUGUCAUAUGUAUAUAUCAUGUCAUACAUUACAAAUAUUUAUAUGCUAAAAAAUGAUAAUGUUGUGAUAGGAAAUAAGCACAGGUAAUGUGCUUAGUCUUCUGGUAAUUUCUGCAGCACUUAAUCAGUCUCCAAACACCUGUAUAGCUAUGCAAAUUAAAAUCUCAAAUGUAGAUAAUGUAGAUAAUCCCCUACUAUUUUCACUUUGAUAACUCUUUCCUGCUUGCCAAAAACGAGGUUUACAAGAACAAAUAGUAACUUUCCACAAUGUGCCUAUGUGGAAAUAUACACAGCUAAAGCAAAGUGCAACUAAAACAAUGACCAGCUCCCAGUUAGAGAAAUCAUGGUAGAAAUGGCUACAGCUCUUCUUAGCAGAAGUAUACCCCUUUUUGCUUCUUUCAAGGGGUACCUCCUUCGUGUUACUGCUUCCUGCUUACAUUCAUCAGAAAGGAAGGGGUUUGGUCCAGUGAGGUAAUAGAAUUGUAUUAUAUUUAGCCUAGAGGCCUUGUACUAAAUCCAAGUAACCUAGAAAACACUUUAUAUGAAUAGCAGCUUGAUGUAAGAAAGCAAGAAACUGUCUUAAUUUGAUUAUUUUAAAUGGAUUGGAGUUUUGCGUAGGUGGAAGACAAUCAUUACAGAAAGGAGUGCUACACAGACUAACAUAUAAAUAGCUCAUGCUGUGAGGAGAACAAUAGCCCUGUUUCUUUUCUCAGAGCACAGAUACAAUUAGUUAGAGGAUAUUGCAUUCUUCAGAAUUUUUUGGCAUCCAAUAGAAAAAACAAUUGCAUUUCAAAACAGAAUAUUGUAUUUGGAAACCACUUCCUCUUUUAAUAACCUGCCAAGGCUUUCAGUCCUUCCCCUGCAAACGAACACAUCCCUUGUAGUUUAGCACAAUGCUUUCCCACACUGCCGCUGAUUGCGAGGUCGCUGACUCCUGAUGCAGUGACAAAGAAUCUUGAGCUUGCCUCUUGGCAGGGAAGUAACUGCUUUCCAUGUACAUUGUGUUAAAAAUGCAUGUUUCUGUAGGGUUUCCAUCUACCGUUAUAUGAACUCCACUGAUUUAGCUCCCAUACUUUUACUGUCACAGAAUAACUAUAUACUUUCAUUGAAGAAAUGUAGAGGUAAAGUCAAAUGUUCAUUUUCAAAGCAGGAAAUCUCAGUCCCCUGACAGCACUGUAUUCCUACUGAUGGAUUUAGAUUCUAAUGGCUGAUGUAGAUUUCAUCAAAUUGUCCAGUGGCAAUAAUUCAUUCCAUGUGACCUGGGUGUAUUCUAUUCUCGCUGGGUUAGAGAGAAGACCUAUUACGCUCACCAGCCAAUCCAUCUUAAAACUAGUUUAAAAUAUUAAUAAUCAUGGUUAGCUAGAUGGAAAUAUGAUUGAUUGCUACAUAAUCCUCUAAAUAAUAAAACAAAUCAAUAGCUAUAGUUAUAAAACUAGACUCAUGGGAUAAAUCAAUCAAAACCAGUGCCUACAUUUCAAACUUAAGCCUGUCACUGUCUUCCUUCAGCACUGUUUUUUGCCCAGAUGUGAAAAUCUUCAUUUGAGGUCAUGAGGUAGUGACAGAUACAAAGGCCAAAUGGAUAUCAAGUGUUCUUCCCUCUUAAAAAUUCAUUAUUCUCCCCAUUACAAGUGGAAAACCCUAAAAUACUCUAAUUACACUGUGAUCAGUCUUGAUCCCCCUUAUUUCUUGAGUGACUCAACUGCUCAUUUUUUUUUAGUUUCUUCCUUUAUUUGUAAUAAUUUCUUUUCCUGUAAUAACAGAAGUAUCAACAGCAGACUUACGAAUCAAGUAAAAUGAACAUAUUUUACUGAUAUUUUUAAUAUAUAAAAACACGGCUUCAUAAACUUCUAACCCACGUUCUCUCUGUACUUCGGAACAGCAUUUACUUGGAUGUGCUGCAAUAAAUGGACAUGCUGCACUCCUUACUGUGCUGUCUCAGAAACUUGUUUUACAAACCAUGCACAUAAUAAACUUGCACACUAUCAUUUCUAAUGUUACUACAUACCCAAAAUAGCCUUCAAAUUGAAUGAGAUAAAACAAAACAUACAUCAUCUACUUAGCAUUCAAAGAUCAGGAGAACUGGUAGGUCUAGCAGGAACUGGUAGGUCCUGAGCUUUAAAGGAGAUCUGUAAGGGGUAUCUUUGCAUUACCAGAAAGUUCAAAGCUUGAGUGUCUGCUUUCUCUGUGUUAUUAAAAAUCCCACAAGUUUUGCAAAUGUAAGGUAGCUAUCCUACAUCUUGAAAACAUGCAAAAAUACCACGGUAAUCAUGUUUAGUCUGUAUAAACAGAACGUUUGUUUCUGAGUCAUAUUUACUUCUUUUUAUCGUAAACCGAUUUCACUAGAAAUUUCCAUCAGCACAAGCAAAGUGAAUUUCUCUGCAUUUAAGAAGUGGUUUCAUGUUUGCACUCCUUUUUUAGGCAAGAGCAAUUGAUUUCUGUUUACUGGGAAACAUACUUGUCUGUGUUCUGGUUUGCUUGUGCUGUUGGAAGGGUCAACAGAGCUGGAAGCAGGGGAAUUUUCAGCUGGCACUGCUCCUGUGAAGGCAGCUCCCGCUUGGCCCUACUGUGGAGAAGGCCUGGCUUGAAUAAGCUGCAUAGAGUUUCUUAAGAUCAGGGGCUUACUGCUGCAAAUGAAAAUGUUCUCUAGUCUCCACCUAGACACAGCAAAGUACAGACGUGCCUGCAGAAUGAAGCAGUUUUGGCCUCACUCAGCAUCCACAAGGAGUGUGGGGAAGCUGAGACCCACAUGCAGACCUUGGGCUGCAUGAAGAUGGGAAAAGGCCCUGUGACACCGAAUUUGAACUGACAAAAGCAAGAGAGCAGCUAGGCAGCAAGGAUAAGCAGAUAGCCAAAGGGAAAAAAAGCAACCCAUUUUCCAAAUUCUGGCCCAAGCGACCUAUGCCCUGGUACUUUAAGUUCAAAAUCAUGUCACUAAAAUCAGCUCAGAUUUGGCCCUCCUGACAGAUCUUGUUCUUUGUGUGAUGGAAAUGUGAAAAAACAGUACAGAACAGCUGGCUUUCACCAAGCUAGCUUUCACCUUCUAGGUCUCGUUCAGUUACACACAAAGCCUAAGAAAUUUAGGGCUGGAAAGGGCUGAGAAGUGAGGAAACACAGACUGGAUCACUUUGAGGGGAAAAAAGAUUCUAAGCGCAGGAAGGCAGCGUGGUUGGCGCUGUCAGAGCGAUCACAAGGAGGACAUGGGGGAUGGUACAGGCACCGUUGAAUGCAGGAGACAAAGGAAAGAAAACAUCACAAGAAUAAAUACGGGAAACAUGAAUUAGAAAUUGAUCUAAUGAGACACCCGGCUUCCCUGAACUUCGGUUACUAACUAAUGUGCCAGCCGUAGGAAGGGGGAGCAGGGGGAUGCCUCAGAGAUGAGCUAAAUCGCCCCGCAAACCCAAGAGGAAACGCUGCCAAGGAACCGGUAAAAUGAAGAGCGCCAACGCCCCUUUUCUACCCACUCGAAACGGCUCGGGGAGACCCCUCGGACGGCCAGCAGCACGCAGGGCCCCGGGGCGGCUUCCUGGGAGCCUCUGCCGCUGAGACCCACUUCCUCC